Drosophila innubila is the source of this 669-nucleotide long non-coding RNA. RefSeq lists it as uncharacterized. Lineage: Eukaryota; Metazoa; Arthropoda; Insecta; Diptera; Drosophilidae. The transcript is spliced from 2 exons. The record is from RefSeq and is a predicted model, not a curated record.
UGUGCAGAGUAAAAGCUCGUGAGGCACAACCAACAAGUUCAUGUUGCAUUGCAAUGUAAUAAAAAUGUUGUUGCUGUUGCCACAACGGAGGCAAGUUCGCGUUGCAUUGCCACAAGCUGCACAAAACGAUAACAAGAGGAAAACCUUUGCAAAUAAAAGCAAAGAAGUAAAAAAAUAAAUAUAUAUAAAUAAAAUAAAUAAACUAAACCAAAAGCAGGCAGAGACUGGGAGACUGGACGACUGGGAGACUUGGAGGCUGGGAGACUGGGAGUCUGAGAGUCUGCGAGUCGAAGCCUGGGCGUGGGGCAUGUGGCACGGACUUUUGUGGCAAGCGAAAAGGCAAAAGGGAAAAGGGAAACGACAACAAACAGCUGCAAAAAUCAUAUUUACAGGCAGCCGUAUCGAACUCGGCAACAUUGCAACUGCAACAACGCGGCAACUGACAACUUGCAACUAGAAGCAACAAAAAACAAAAACAACUGCAAGCAACCAUUGAUAGUUGCCACAGCGAUAGAGGAACAGCAGCACCACCAUGAGUAUUUCACGCCUUUAACCACUUAUUAAAAUAGGCAAAAUGUCUAUUAGCCUGCUCUGUUAACGUGGCCACCAACAGUUUGUUUGCAACACUGAACAAAAAACCAACUGCUAAAAUCAAUAACAUUCAUCUUA